CGGGGUGUGGCUCAGCUUGGUAGAGCACUUGAUUUGGGAUCAAGGGGUCGCAGGUUCGAAUCCUGUCACCCCGA
RNAcentral lists this transfer RNA (74 nucleotides) under Eubacteriales bacterium. RNAcentral's name for it is "tRNA-Pro". It matches the Rfam family "tRNA". From Rfam's summary of the family: Transfer RNA (tRNA) molecules are approximately 80 nucleotides in length. Their secondary structure includes four short double-helical elements and three loops (D, anti-codon, and T loops). Further hydrogen bonds mediate the characteristic L-shaped molecular structure. tRNAs have two regions of fundamental functional importance: the anti-codon, which is responsible for specific mRNA codon recognition, and the 3' end, to which the tRNAs corresponding amino acid is attached (by aminoacyl-tRNA synthetases). tRNAs cope with the degeneracy of the genetic code in two manners: having more than one tRNA (with a specific anti-codon) for a particular amino acid; and 'wobble' base-pairing, i.e. permitting non-standard base-pairing at the 3rd anti-codon position. Lineage: Bacteria; Bacillati; Bacillota; Clostridia; Eubacteriales. The record is from RNAcentral.